AAGUCGUAACAAGGUUUCCGUAGGUGAACCUGCGGAAGGAUCAUUACAAAAAUUCUAAAAAACCCAACCUUUGUGCACUUUGUUUUGAGAAAAGUGGUCGAGGGACUUGAGAAAAGGAAAAAAGAGGGGGGUUUUGUGGGCUUGCCCCGCCCGCCUUGAUCUUGUCUCAUUUCUCUCUCUGCUUUCUCUUAAUUUUCUACACCUUUAUAAAUGAAAAAAUGUCUGUCUAAAGUUAUUAAAAAAGUUAAUUCAAAAAAACUUUUAAAAAAAAAUACAACUUUCAGCAACGGAUCUCUUGGCUCUC
RNAcentral lists this unclassified non-coding RNA (304 nucleotides) under fungal sp. RNAcentral's name for it is "partial internal transcribed spacer region". The stretch from base 1 to 46 matches the Rfam family "Eukaryotic small subunit ribosomal RNA", at positions 1786 to 1831 of the family's 1831-position model. Lineage: Eukaryota; Fungi. The record is from RNAcentral.